RNAcentral lists this ribosomal RNA (301 nucleotides) under uncultured bacterium. RNAcentral describes it as "partial 16S ribosomal RNA". It matches the Rfam family "Bacterial small subunit ribosomal RNA", at positions 509 to 809 of the family's 1533-position model. The record is from RNAcentral.
CAGCCGCCGCGGUAAAACGGAGGGAGCUAGCGUUGCUCGGAAUUACUGGGCGUAAAGGGAGCGUAGGCGGACAUUUAAGUCAGGGGUGAAAUCCCAGAGCUCAACUCUGGAACUGCCUUUGAUACUGGGUGUCUUGAGUGUGAUAGAGGUAUGUGGAACUCCGAGUGUAGAGGUGAAAUUCGUAGAUAUUCGGAAGAACACCAGUGGCGAAGGCGACAUACUGGAUCAUUACUGACGCUGAGGCUCGAAAGCGUGGGGAGCAAACAGGAUUAGAUACCCGUGUAGUCCCUGUCUCUUAUAA